This is a long non-coding RNA of Fukomys damarensis (Damara mole-rat), 476 nucleotides long. RefSeq lists it as uncharacterized. NCBI's taxonomy places the organism in Eukaryota, Metazoa, Chordata, Mammalia, Rodentia, Bathyergidae. The transcript is spliced from 4 exons. The record is from RefSeq and is a predicted model, not a curated record.
CUGUGAAAAGACUUCCCUGCUGCCUCUCCAGAGUGUGCUCAUUCUUCCUAAGCAGCUGAUUAUGGACUGAAACCUCUACAAAUUCCAGAUUCUUCAGGAGGACAGGAAGCAGGUUGAAUGCUAAAGGACAUGGCAGGAACUUUUCUCCAGCAGUUCCUCAGGAACAAAUGGGAAAAGCCAUGUGACCAUGACAGAGCUACUUUGCCCCAUGCCCCACAGUGCUGGCCUUUGGAUGCUAAGCGGAGCUGUUCCUGGACUUGUCUUCAGCAAGUACUUUGUGACAUUCUUAGAGACCCUUUGAGAUCAAAGUCAUGAGGGAGGUCUCAGUUAUUCUUGCUCUGUGAAACAGUUAUGAGAUUACCCUCCUUGUCUACUGGGGGCAGACAGUCAUGGCACCUCAGAACACUGCCACAGAAAGAAAAUGAGAAAAAACUUCACUUCUCGGUUCCUGGAUGCCAUCAGCAUAGCAGCAAAUA